This 403-nucleotide ribosomal RNA is filed under the name bacterium. RNAcentral's name for it is "partial 16S ribosomal RNA". It matches the Rfam family "Bacterial small subunit ribosomal RNA", at positions 355 to 776 of the family's 1533-position model. The record is from RNAcentral.
UGGGGAAUAUUGCACAAUGGGGGAAACCCUGAUGCAGCGACGCCGCGUGAACGAAGAAGGUAUUCGUAUCGCAAAGUUCUGUCCUAUGGGAAGAUAAUGACAGUACCAUAGAAGAAAGCUCCGGCUAAAUACGUGCCAGCAGCCGCGGUAAUACGUAUGGAGCGAGCGUUGUCCGGAAUUAUUGGGCGUAAAGGGUACGCAGGCGGUUUAAUAAGUCGAAUGUUAAAGAUCGGGGCUCAACCCCGCAAAGCAUUGGAAACUGAUAAACUUGAGUAGUGGAGAGGAAAGUGGAAUUCCUAGUGUAGUGGUGAAAUACGUAGAUAUUAGGAGGAAUACCAGUAGCGAAGGCGACUUUCUGGACACAAACUGACGCUGAGGUACGAAAGCGUGGGGAGCAAACAGG